GCCGUUAUAGUUCAGAGGUAGAACACGUCAUUGGUAAUGACGAAACCCAAGUUCAAUUCUUGGUAACGGCA
Molecule: transfer RNA, 71 nt
Organism: Candidatus Neoehrlichia
Lineage: Bacteria; Pseudomonadati; Pseudomonadota; Alphaproteobacteria; Rickettsiales; Anaplasmataceae
Rfam family: tRNA
About the family: Transfer RNA (tRNA) molecules are approximately 80 nucleotides in length. Their secondary structure includes four short double-helical elements and three loops (D, anti-codon, and T loops).
Source: Rfam